Molecule: long non-coding RNA, 337 nt
Filed under: Phaseolus vulgaris (common bean)
Lineage: Eukaryota; Viridiplantae; Streptophyta; Magnoliopsida; Fabales; Fabaceae
Description: long non-coding RNA (PVUL_LNC004623)
Source: RNAcentral
AGGUACAGUAGAAGCAGUAGUGGCAAACUCAUGAGUAGAAAAGAAGGUAAAAACACACACUGAAAAUAAAGAUGUAGUCAUAAGCUAAUAUAGUUCUGUGACAGUGAAACACGAAAGAAAUACUGGCAUGUCUAUGGAAGUUUUGAAGGUGUUUAAGGGCUAGAGGUAGAAGGUGGUGGGGAGAAGAAGGAGGAGAAGGGGAGGGUUGGCAUUGAUGGCAGGUUUGGCAAUGAAGCUGCAAGAGGAGGGAGAUUGAGUGUUGGAAGUGAUGGAAAAGUUGGCAUGGUAGGGAUGGUGGGCAAAGGAGGAACAUUUCCCUGAGGCAGUGUUGGGUUUG